CGAUAAGGUCUCUUCGGAGACACAUAAGUGGCGGACGGGUGAGUAAUAUGUAGAGAAUCUGCCCUAGAGUGGGGGACAACAGUUGGAAACGACUGCUAAUACCGCAUAUGAGCGUAGCUGAAAUGCUAUUCUUGAAAACUCCGGUGCUCUAGGAUGAGUCUGCAUCUGAUUAGCUAGUUGGGGGUGUAAUGGACCACCAAGGCGACGAUCAGUAGCUGGUUUGAGAGGAUGAUCAGCCACAAUGGGACUGAGACACGGCCCAUACUCCUACGGGAGGCAGCAGUAGGGAAUUUUGCGCAAUGGGCGAAAGCCUGACGCAGCAACGCCGCGUGACCGAUGAAGCCCUUCGGGGUGUAAAGGUCUGUCAGUGGGGACGAAAUCUGACGGUACCCACAGAGGAAGCAUCGGCUAACUCCGUGCCAGCAGCCGCGGUAAUACGGGGGAUGCAAGCGUUGUCCGGAAUCAUUGGGCGUAAAGAGUUCGUAGGUGGUUUGUUAAGUUUGGUGUUAAAUGCAGGGGCUCAACUUCUGUUCGGCAUCGGAUACUGGCAGACUAGAAUGCGGUAGAGGUAAAGGGAAUUCCUGGUGUAGCGGUGAAAUGCGUAGAUAUCA
Molecule: ribosomal RNA, 611 nt
Filed under: uncultured rumen bacterium
Lineage: Bacteria
Description: bacterial SSU rRNA
Rfam family: Bacterial small subunit ribosomal RNA
Source: RNAcentral